Long non-coding RNA from Leopardus geoffroyi (Geoffroy's cat), 989 nucleotides. RefSeq lists it as uncharacterized. The transcript is spliced from 2 exons. The record is from RefSeq and is a predicted model, not a curated record. NCBI's taxonomy places the organism in Eukaryota, Metazoa, Chordata, Mammalia, Carnivora, Felidae.
GUCCCUGUUCUCUUUCCCCACAACAGUAAAAUGGGUCCAUUACAUUGAUGUUAUAAUGUUAACAUGUGAAGACUCACCUCCGCUGCAGGACCCUCUGCAGAUUUGUUGGAACAUCUGCAAGGGAAAAGAUGAAUUCACAAAACAUUCAAGGUGCAGAUAAUGCCAUAAAGUUUUGAGGAAUUAUUUGGUCAGGAAAUGUUGUUCCACAAGCUGUGAUUACUAACAUACAAGCCUAUCCAACCCCUAAGAAGAUAAAAGAAAUGCAAGCCUUUGUAGGGAUUUGGGAAUUUUGGAGGACUUCUAUUCCCUACCUGACACAGUGCCUCUAUCCCUUUAAAAAAAGCGGUGGGGAGGGGGAGAAGCCAAGAUGGAGGAACAGCAUGGAAGGUUUUUUUGCGUCUCUCCUCCUCGAAAUACAACCAGAUUAACACUAAACCAUCCUGCACACCUAGAAAACUGAUUUGAGGAUUAACGCAACAAUUUGCACAAUCUGAACCACAGAACUAAGCAGUGCGGCCAGAUAGUCACCAAACAAGCCACCUCUAUGCCAGUAAAACCUUGCUGACUGCUCAGGGAACAUUGCAAAAGAGCAGUACAUAUAGAAUUAUAAGAGCCAGUCAUAAGAGGUGAAACACUAGAGAAGGUCAUCGAGAGGAUAUGGAUGCCAUUUGACCCAUGAGCUGGACGCAGGCAAUUGAGGCUCUUCCCUGCCCUCCCUGUCGGUGAAAUAUGCAUUCUGCCUGCCUUCCUGCCCUAAAAGCUGCCUCAAGGACACAGACUUGAGAUAGUAAUGUGCUGUUGAGACCAUCUGGGUAUAAUGACUGGAUGUGCCAUCUGGUAGACAUGACUGAACCCAGUUAGGGCGUCUAUAUAAACUUUUAAGGUUCUGACAGGUGGGUGUAAAGAUCUGCUCACUUUGCAGCUGACUAAGCCAACCAUCAUAAAAGCAAGUUCCCUUGCUUAUUAAAACUGCCACCUACCAAUCUGGA